RNA transcript from Esox lucius (northern pike), 1312 nucleotides. It is a transcript of the gene named hypermethylated in cancer 2 protein-like, with no coding region annotated. The record is from RefSeq and is a predicted model, not a curated record. Lineage: Eukaryota; Metazoa; Chordata; Actinopteri; Esociformes; Esocidae. The transcript has 4 exons.
CCCAAAAGCAACUGUUGACGAGUGUCAAGUCUCAAGGCUCGUAGUAUGAAAAGCGUGUGAUUGUUUUCCGAAUGAAAGCGCACGUAGCCACCAACUGUGUAGAUUAUACCAGGGUAUAUUAAUGUUUUACUUUUGUACGAAUUUUAUAUUCUUAUUUCACAAGAUCGAGUGCCUUCACUAUUAAUAUGAGAACACACCCUUCCGUGGCCAGUGCCCAUGCUGUGGCCCUGCUUAGGAAACUGAAUAUUCAGAGAAUGGAGGGGAAAUUCUGCGACUGUGUGAUUCGACAAUAUCUGAACCCAGGGAAACUUUAUCUGGCCCAUAAAAGUGUUCUGGCAGCUUCUAGUCCCGUCCUGGCCUCCCUCCUGCCCAGUAAAAGUGUGUUGCUGGAGUUGCAGUUUCCAUCCACUACAAAGGAGGUUCUGGGGUCUCUGUUGGAAUUUAUCUACACUGGGAUACUACCCCCAGCAGAUCAGGAUGAUUCUCUUCUGUCUGCUGCUACAUAUCUGCAAAUUGAGGAACUACAGCAGGCUUUAAGCAACAGUAAGCUGGACUCAUCAUCUGAGUCAGACUGCAUUGUUGCAGGCUUCAAACUGGCCCGAAACGCAGGCACCAGGGGCUCUGUGUCAUUGACCAUCGAGUGCCCGUCCUGGAAGAUGUCUGGAGAAACAUCUCCAUGGGUGCAGCUAUGUCUGAAGACAGGGUGGUAAGAUGCAGGCGCCUAUUUGGGUCCUGCAAUGCUGCACACGUCUCUGAGUUCCUCAGUAAAGUUGAGCCAGUCGGUCGAAAGUGUCACCUAUGUCAUAGUGUUUGGUUCCACCAUGCACAGGUGGUUCGUGAAAAGGUUUUCAAUCCCCAAUUCCUGACCCUACAGCCUGACUGUCUACAGUUCUCAUUCAUAGCGCGGAGGUAGAUGGUAAAUGACCGCCAACCCCAUGCCUCCCUCCCUCCUCCAGGCUAGGGAUCUGGCAUGUCGUGACAUCAUUGCUGACCAAUAUCAGGCUUGGAUUUGCCGCGCUUAAUGUUUUUCUGUUUGGCAGGGUGCAGUAAUAAUAAAGAUAUUCACUGAGAUGUGGAUCAGAACUUGGGCCCAAAUGAAUAAGUCAGCUGGGGGUUGUUGAGAUAGGAAACCAACUGUAAAGAGAAAAUUUUCAGAUCAGCACCAAAGCAAGAGGAAGGAACCUUCUUCCUUUCAUAGCACUCUAUUCCCUCAAAGUUGUGAAGUUGUCCCAGUCAUAUGCCAUGCUAGUAAAAAUUAUUCUCUAGUGUCAAAAACACAACCUCAAAGCAACAUCUUCAACAUAGGGUUUGA